CACGUAGGGCGCAAGCGUUGUCCGGAAUUAUUGGGCGUAAAGAGCUCAUAGGUGGUUUGCUGCGUCCGCUGUGAAAACCCAAGGCUUAACCUUGGGCUUGCAGUGGAUACGGGCAGACUAGAGGUAGGUAGGGGAGAAUGGAAUUCCCGGUGUAGCGGUGAAAUGCGCAGAUAUCGGGAGGAACACCGGUGGCGAAGGCGGUUCUCUGGGCCUUACCUGACGCUGAGGAGCGAAAGCGUGGGGAGCGAACAGG
RNAcentral lists this ribosomal RNA (253 nucleotides) under uncultured bacterium. RNAcentral's name for it is "partial 16S ribosomal RNA". It matches the Rfam family "Bacterial small subunit ribosomal RNA", at positions 524 to 776 of the family's 1533-position model. The record is from RNAcentral.